This 791-nucleotide ribosomal RNA is filed under the name uncultured marine bacterium. RNAcentral describes it as "bacterial SSU rRNA". It matches the Rfam family "Bacterial small subunit ribosomal RNA", at positions 97 to 869 of the family's 1533-position model. The record is from RNAcentral.
GGCGAACGGGUGAGUAACGCGUAAACAACUUGCCUCAGAGAUUGGGACAACAUUGGGAAACCUGUGCUAAUACCAAAUAAUGCAGCGGGCUCUUCGGAGCACAGUUGUUAAAGUAGGCUUCGGCUUACACUUUGAGAUAGGUUUGCGUCCGAUUAGAUAGUUGGUAGGGUAAAAGCCUACCAAGACCAAGAUCGGUAGCUGGUCUGAGAGGAUGAUCAGCCACACUGGAAUUGAGAUACGGUCCAGACUCCUACGGGAGGCAGCAGUAAGGAAUUUUGCACAAUGGGCGAAAGCCUGAUGCAGCAACGCCGCGUGAACGAUGAAGUUUUUAGGAAUGUAAAGUUCUGUCGUAUGGGAAGAGAUCUUUCGAAUGUUAAUACCAUUCGUUAAUGACGGUACCAUACAAGAAAGCACCGGCUAACUUCGUGCCAGCAGCCGCGGUAAUACGAGGGGUGCUAGCGUUGUCCGGAUUUACUGGGCGUAAAGGGUACGUAGGCGUUUUAAUAAGUUGAAUGUUAAAUAUCUUAGCUUAACUAAGAAAAUGCAUUCAAAACUGUUAAAAUAGAGUUUGAGAGAGGAACGCAGAAUUCAUGGUGGAGCGGUGACAUGCGUAGAUAUCAUGAGGAAAGUCAAAUGCGAAGGCAGCCUUCUGGCUCAAAACUGACGCUGAGGUACGAAAGCGUGGGGAGCGAACAGGAUUAGAUACCCUGGUAGUCCACGCCGUAAACGAUGAGUAUUUGGUGCUGGGGGAUUCGACCCUUUCAGUGCCGUAGCUAACGCGAUAAAUACUC